Molecule: ribosomal RNA, 584 nt
Filed under: uncultured bacterium
Lineage: Bacteria
Description: partial 16S ribosomal RNA
Rfam family: Bacterial small subunit ribosomal RNA
Source: RNAcentral
UGGGGAGUUUCGGACAAUGGGCGAAAGCCUGAUCCAGCAAUGCCGCGUGUGUGAAGAAGGCCUUCGGGUUGUAAAGCACUUUUGUCCGGAAAGAAAUCCUUGGCUCUAAUACAGUCGGGGGAUGACGGUACCGGAAGAAUAAGCACCGGCUAACUACGUGCCAGCAGCCGCGGUAAUACGUAGGGUGCAAGCGUUAAUCGGAAUUACUGGGCGUAAAGCGUGCGCAGGCGGUUUACUAAGACCGAUGUGAAAUCCCCGGGCUCAACCUGGGAACUGCAUUGGUGACUGGCAGGCUAGAGUAUGGCAGAGGGGGGUAGAAUUCCACGUGUAGCAGUGAAAUGCGUAGAGAUGUGGAGGAAUACCGAUGGCGAAGGCAGCCCCCUGGGCCAAUACUGACGCUCAUGCACGAAAGCGAGGGAGCAAACAGGAUUAGAUACCCUGGUAGUCCACGCCCUAAACGAUGUCAACUAGUUGUUGGGGAUUCAUUUCCUUAGUAACGUAGCUAACGCGUGAAGUUGACCGCCUGGGGAGUACGGUCGCAAGAUUAAAACUUAAAGGAAUUGACGGGGUCAUAGCUGUUUCCU